This 433-nucleotide ribosomal RNA is filed under the name uncultured bacterium. Its description in RNAcentral is "partial 16S ribosomal RNA". It matches the Rfam family "Bacterial small subunit ribosomal RNA", at positions 355 to 779 of the family's 1533-position model. The record is from RNAcentral.
UGGGGAAUUUUGGACAAUGGGCGAAAGCCUGAUCCAGCAAUGCCGCGUGUGUGAAGAAGGCCUUCGGGUUGUAAAGCACUUUUGUCCGGAAAGAAAUCCUCUGGGUUAAUACCUCGGGGGGAUGACGGUACCGGAAGAAUAAGCACCGGCUAACUACGUGCCAGCAGCCGCGGUAAUACGUAGGGUGCAAGCGUUAAUCGGAAUUACUGGGCGUAAAGCGUGCGCAGGCGGUUUUGUAAGACGGAUGUGAAAUCCCCGGGCUUAACCUGGGAACUGCAUUCGUGACUGCAAGGCUAGAGUAUGGCAGAGGGGGGUAGAAUUCCACGUGUAGCAGUGAAAUGCGUAGAGAUGUGGAGGAAUACCGAUGGCGAAGGCAGCCCCCUGGGCCAAUACCUGACGCUCAUGCACGAAAGCGUGGGGAGCAAACAGGAUU